Molecule: transfer RNA, 71 nt
Filed under: Cyrtodactylus rukhadeva
Lineage: Eukaryota; Metazoa; Chordata; Lepidosauria; Squamata; Gekkonidae
Description: tRNA-Trp
Source: RNAcentral
AGAAGUUUAGGUUAAACCAAACCAAAGGCCUUCAAAGCCUUAAACAUGAGCCACCAGCCUCGUAACCUCUG